Taeniopygia guttata (zebra finch) is the source of this 4976-nucleotide long non-coding RNA. The record is from Ensembl. NCBI's taxonomy places the organism in Eukaryota, Metazoa, Chordata, Aves, Passeriformes, Estrildidae.
UCAGUUUAAGCCCACUGCCCUUCUCCCCAUUCCGAGUUCUUCCCUGAGGAAGGCAAAAAUGACUGCUUAUGAUAAGGCUAACCUCGGAGCUCACCUCCAGAAACACUGUGUAAUACCCAAACUAGGCACCUAUGCAUGGGAGAGCUGAACUCACCUGCACUAGCAAGUCGUACCAUUGAAGUGACACCAGCAGUCUCAGGGAUAUGAGCAAACCAGUAAAGUGCUUAGUUCAAUAAACAGCAUGAGACCGUGGCCCCACUUCAGACUCAUGAGGCUGGAAAGGCACCUGGCUGCCAAAAGAGUCAUUUUAUCAUAACCACCCUUCACGUUUUUACCUCCUGAGCCUAUUUAAACAAACUUAACUCAGAACCAGAGCUCUACAAAUCUAUCCUGGAAAAAGAAGGGUUAAAAAAGCCACAAGGGACAUUGUGACUCCCUUCUUAAACACUCUCACCACCCCACAGAGGAGCCCAUCUAGUCCAUGAGAGUGACCUUUAACUAGCCUACCUAGCCAGGGCUCAGCAUGAAUGCAAUUUACAGACCAUUUCAGCUCUCCAGCUUUCUUAACACAAAGAAGAAAAAUCAAAACCCAAGCACAAUGGAAAAGAAAGAAAGAGAGAGGGAAAAUAACCCUGCAGAGCAAUCAUGUCUGGGGCUCCUCUGAUGGCUUUCUGUUCCCUUCCAGGACACAGAAAUGACUCCCAGUGUGUUAAUUACCCCCAUUACCACAAACUCUCCGCUAACAAGGAGUAGCUAAAAGGAAGCGUUGGCAGCAGCUGAGCAGUUAUUGCUCUGUACUGCCACGAAGGAGAAACCAGACUCCCCCAUCUCUGAGCUGGUACUAACCAGGAGAGCGAUUUCUGCAAAACUCAACAGCCUUUAUUGUAAUUCCCAUGGCAGCUGCACUGGGAACACUGGCCUCACCUCAAUUCCACCGUCGGUAAAAGAGAACAAAGAAUACCUGCUUUUCUAAAGGCUUUGGAGCUCAACAGUUGGAGAGUUCUGAAUCAUUAUCAUUUAUUUUACUCCUUCUGUAGAUGGUCUGUCUCCAUCCCCUGCAUCCUCUCCUUUCUGCCAUCAAAAAGCUUGGACAGAUCCGUAGCAUUGUUUAUUCUACCAGAUCCAAAUACACCAAAUGCAGUCAGUAGCUAUACACAUCUCAGCAGGGAAUGUUAGUGGGGAAUUUGGUAGUAUCAGAGUUCUGGCAUUAUUGAUACAGGCAAUACUUCUUCCAGAAGUAUAAAGUAUUUCCAUUUUGUUUCAAAACAUGCAUAUAUAGUAUUUCCAUUUUCGUUUAAUAAAAAUCAAGUCUCUUGAAAAUGUGCUUAUCAUUACCAAAAAACAAAGUUUGAGCACAUCACUAAUGCCUGAAAAUAAGGCUGCUUCCAAGAUUUUCCUAAGACUGACAGUGCAGAAUGGGCUUACUUUCCCCUCUAAAUUUAUUUGAUACUACAGACACAGGCCAGCAUUAGACACUCCUCAAAGGGGACACACAACUGGAAUGUGUGGGGGACUCCUGACUUGGAAGCAAGAGGAAAAAUGUCACCAAUCCACUGCUUUUUCAGUUACCUGAUUAUAGAAAAAGGUACAAGGCACAAUAUCAACAAAAAAUUAAAACAAAUAGCGAGAAUAUUAAGUAACCUUACUAAUACCUUGCUCUUCCUAGCUGUCUACCCAUCUGUCUCUUCUUUGCAUAUGCAUUUUAAGUUCUUCAAGAGCAAGAACAUUUUCUUUUCUGUCUGACAGAAUCUAGCACAACAUAAUCAAGAGCAGAGUUAUAAGGCACUACACACGUAUACACUAAUAAUUGUGAUUUUAUGUACUUGAGCUAGCAAUAAAAUGCCUUUAUAUUCCAGUUAAUGUAUAACACUUCCUUUUAAAAAAUUAAAAAGAAAAGCUUAAAAGGAUAUUCAGAAUGACUAUAAUAAGAACAAAGUUUUAACUCAUUUUCUGUUUCACUUACAAAUCAUAGUCAAUUCACACUUUCUUUAACAUAUUUUAUACUCCUGGACCAAUUUUCAGUAAGUCGGAGCAUGUCAGUCUGCAUGUUUUUAAAUAUUAUAACAGUAUAUUAUAAAGACAGGAGGCAGAAGAAAUCAAAUUUAUUACUGUACUAAAAACAUAGCAUGUAUAGAGGGGGACACUGAACCUGGCCAGAUUUCCCUGUCAUUAAUUAAUUCACCAGUAAUUAAUUUAGAUCAUUCUCUUAGUCUGCUGGCUCACAGGAAAAUAAGCACCAUCCACUUAAAAAGGAAAUAAAGGGCCCAUGGACAUCUUGAAAUCUACAGUGGAUUUUCCCAUUAUGUGACAUGUUAGCACUCUCUAACAAGUGAACUCAGUUUUACGAAGUUUUAUUGCAACUUAGGAAUCUCAUGCAAAAAUUUAUAUUCAGCUUCCCUCAAAGCAAACACGAACACCUAAACAUAAUGAACGGAUGUGAGAAGCUGUCCAGAGUGCAGGCAAUGCACUAAGCUCUUUAAAAAGCUGAGGUUCCAUUUACAGACCAAAGGCCUUUCAGGGAGCCCAGUUAAACACUGGAAAUGAAGUGUGGGUGAUCUGUGUUCACCCAGCUCUCACACUGGCUGGUGCUGACCAACACAGGGAGCUGGCACUGGCACCCUGCUAAGCGCUCUACAAGUCUCAGCCACUGUGAGACGACAUCUCAGCUUUCUGAGGCACACUCUUCUCUUACCACUAGCUCCAGAAAUAUGUUGCUUUUCGUGGGUGUACACAUAACAGCAGGCUGGGAAUCCCCUGCCAUGGGAAAUCAAUGCAUUCUUCCAGCUAUCUGUUGUUUUCAUCCUCUAAUACACCAAUUCCUGCCAAAAUUCAUUCCACCCCAUCCCUCUCCCCACUUCUUCCUCAGGGUAAUUGGUGAACAUGAUGAGAAGCUAUGCAUAGACAGGUUUCUCAGUUCUGGCGUGCUGGGGAAAUGGAAGUGGAAAUCUUUGCUAAGACACAUUGGUUCCAAAAAUCUUUUAAGUGUCACUGUCUUGGCUGGAAAAGGAUAACACUUCAAAUGGCUGAAGAUAUUGAAAACUGUCCAGAUCAUCAAGGAAAUUACUUGUAAUUUUGCAUGAUAAGGGUCAGUUUCUAAACUGACCAGCAAUUACGGGACAGGUAAGAACUACACUAAAUACAUUCUACUUGCAAAGAGUCAUUUCAGCCUGGCCUGUGCCUGCAGCACUACAUGGUGAUCUGUCAGUGUGCACCAAGCAGUCCUCCACCUAACCCAGACUGCCUGCAGGCAAGGCUGGAAUAACAAACCUGUCACUCUGCCACAGCAGUGGGCUCACAGCUAAGGACUAAAACAGUGUUGUAGUCUCCGGAGCCCUAGGGACCCUCAAAGCAGAAAUACAAAGCUUUUGGCACAAUGUGCUUUGAAAGGAAGGCUGUUGAACAGGUAAUCUUAGGCUUAGGAGUCCUAUGGGCCCAGACAGUGGGAUAAGUCACACAGAAUACGGUUCUCAUUUUUGUUUUUUAAUUCAUUUACACCUUCCUGGUGCUUCUGUGCUUCACACUGUUUUGCCCUACAAGUUUUCUCUCUAGUUGUCUUUUCCUCAGAAACUUCCUGCUCUGAAAUGCAGAAUCAAACAUGAAGAUGUGCAAAACAAAAGGAUUUUUGCAAAAUUCAAGUAUAAAGGAUUCAUCUGCCUAUUUCAGUGGAACCACCUAAUGACAAAAUUACAUUCCCUGGAGUAAGAAACACACAAGAUGCCAAAAAGGCAGGGGAUAUAUGCAUGUAGCAAAGCACAAGAGGAAUCAUCAUACACACAGAGCGUGGCAGAUAUUAACUAAAAGAAGAAGCCCAGAGGCUGGACAGUCCUGAGCUUUCAAAAGUACUUGGGCAUGACUGCAGAAAGGUGGAAGAGCAAAACUGCAUUUUAUUUUAAAAUAAACUUGGAUAAAAAACAUUAGGAAAUACUGUAACGGAGAAUAACCCUUCAAUGCCUGAGAAACAGACUGGGGCACUGCACAACACUCUUCUAUUUUCUCUCUGUAUUAAAGCCCCAAAUGCAGGAGUGUGCCAGGGCCAUAGACCCAGGAAGCAAAGUCUGCCAGCCAGCUUAAUACCUCAAGUGAGCUCAGGGAAAGAAGAAGCUAACUAGCAGCACUAUGGAAAUUAAUGCCUUUAGAAAUUAGUUCAAAUUUUCUAAUGGAGCAUUUUAACACCACUGGAGAAGACAUGUCUCUUUAUUUAAUCAUUACUUGCUACAUAUUGAUAAAUCAAUCACACAAGGUAGAUUUAGAGAGAUUAAAAAAAAAAAUAUAUAUAUAUAUACAUAUGUAUAUAUAUUCCUGCAAAUGUUCCUUUAAAAGUCAGAUGGUAUUUUAAAGAGCUUCCAGCCUUGGGACUCACAGUGCAGUGCCCUGGAAGACAAUUGACAUUCUGAGUGACUGGGCUGCGAAUUCAAAAUCCCAACUCAACCUGCUCAAGCUGGGAUUCAAACUCACAUACUUUAAAAACAGGAAGGAAAAAAAACUACAAAGAAAGAAAGAGAGAGCGAGGAAAAUACCUGAAUUCCUGCAACUCCCGAGACCAGAAUCUCUAAGGUUAUAGAUGCAGCAGUGGCUCUGGGAAUAUCACUAUACGGUAUUCCAUAGCUGCAUGGGAUGUAUUUUCUGCUUUGCCAUACUAAAUAUGAAUCUCUCUAUGGUUAGCAAUACAGCUGACAAAAGAUAAUCGUUUGUUAUGAAAGCCACUAGUGAAAAUGAAAAUAGCAUUUAUUAUAUUGAGGUGCUUUGAUUGAAUUUUCUAUUUUUAAUUUAAAAAUGAAACAUUCUAAUUUACCUGGCUUUGGAUAUAGUAACUUCCAGUCAUUAUUUGCAGUUUAUUUUUAUUUCUUCUGGGAAAGAAGUAUAGAAUAGGGAAGGAGUAUAGAAGUGGGAAAACUGAGACUGCUAUAUAAAUAGCUUCAUUCCUAGCAACUGCAUAACUUUUCAUUUCAAAUCAAUUUUAAAUGUAUUACCCUCCC